Molecule: transfer RNA, 58 nt
Filed under: Dipodomys ordii (Ord's kangaroo rat)
Lineage: Eukaryota; Metazoa; Chordata; Mammalia; Rodentia; Heteromyidae
Rfam family: tRNA
About the family: Transfer RNA (tRNA) molecules are approximately 80 nucleotides in length. Their secondary structure includes four short double-helical elements and three loops (D, anti-codon, and T loops).
Source: Rfam by way of RNAcentral
UAGCUCAGUGGUAGAGUGCUUGCCUUGCAUGCAUGAGGCCCUGAGUUUGAUUCCUCAG